UACGAAGGGGGCUAGCGUUGUUCGGAAUCACUGGGCGUAAAGCGCACGUAGGCGGAUCUUUAAGUCAGGGGUGAAAUCCCGAGGCUCAACCUCGGAACUGCCUUUGAUACUGGGGAUCUCGAGUCCGGGAGAGGUGAGUGGAACUGCGAGUGUAGAGGUGAAAUUCGUAGAUAUUCGGAAGAACACCAGUGGCGAAGGCGGCUCACUGGACUGGUAUUGACGCUGAGGUGCGAAAGCGUGGGGAGCAAACAGG
Molecule: ribosomal RNA, 253 nt
Filed under: uncultured bacterium
Lineage: Bacteria
Description: partial 16S ribosomal RNA
Rfam family: Bacterial small subunit ribosomal RNA
Source: RNAcentral